AUUGAACGCUGGCGGCAGGCCUAACACAUGCAAGUCGAACGGUAGCACAGAGAGCUUGCUCUCGGGUGACGAGUGGCGGACGGGUGAGUAACGUCUGGGAAACUGCCCGAUGGAGGGGGAUAACUACUGGAAACGGUAGCUAAUACCGCAUAACGUCGCAAGACCAAAGUGGGGGACCUUCGGGCCUCACACCAUCGGAUGUGCCCAGAUGGGAUUAGCUAGUAGGUGGGGUAAUGGCUCACCUAGGCGACGAUCCCUAGCUGGUCUGAGAGGAUGACCAGCCACACUGGAACUGAGACACGGUCCAGACUCCUACGGGAGGCAGCAGUGGGGAAUAUUGCACAAUGGGCGCAAGCCUGAUGCAGCCAUGCCGUGUGUAUGAAGAAGGCCUUCGGGUUGUAAAGUACUUUCAGCGGGGGGGAAGGCGGUGAGGUUAAUAACCUCGCCGAUUGACGUUACCCGCAGAAGAAGCACCGGCUAACUCCGUGCCAGCCGCCGCCGUAA
RNAcentral lists this ribosomal RNA (504 nucleotides) under uncultured bacterium. RNAcentral's name for it is "partial 16S ribosomal RNA". It matches the Rfam family "Bacterial small subunit ribosomal RNA", at positions 29 to 523 of the family's 1533-position model. The record is from RNAcentral.